AACGAACGCUGGCGGCAGGCUUAACACAUGCAAGUCGAACGAACAUAGCAAUAUGUUAGUGGCAGACGGGUGAGUAACGCGUGGGAAUGUGCCCUUUAGUUCGGAAUAACUCAGGGAAACUUGAGCUAAUACCGGAUAAUCCCGAGAGGGGAAAGAUUUAUCGCUGAAGGAGCAGCCCGCGUCUGAUUAGCUAGUUGAUGAGGUAAUGGCUCACCAAGGCGACGAUCAGUAGCUGGUCUGAGAGGAUGAUCAGCCAAACUGGGACUGAGAAACGGCCCAGACUUCCACGGGAAGCAGCAGUGGGGAAUAUUGGACAAUGGGGGCAACCCUGAUCCAGCCAUGCCGCGUGAGUGAUGAAGGCCUUAGGGUUGUAAAACUCUUUUAUCCGGGAAGAUAAUGACUGUACCGGAAGAAUAAGCCCCGGCUAACUUCGUGCCAGCAGCCGCGGUAA
Molecule: ribosomal RNA, 451 nt
Filed under: uncultured bacterium
Lineage: Bacteria
Description: partial 16S ribosomal RNA
Rfam family: Bacterial small subunit ribosomal RNA
Source: RNAcentral